Molecule: unclassified non-coding RNA, 312 nt
Filed under: Hevea brasiliensis (rubber tree)
Lineage: Eukaryota; Viridiplantae; Streptophyta; Magnoliopsida; Malpighiales; Euphorbiaceae
Source: RNAcentral
UUCAACUCAACUAAGGAAUUCUCUUCAAGGUUUGAGUAUUGCAAGUGAACUUCUGGAACAUGCUGUGCUACUUGCUACAAAUGAUAACCUUGAUCUUGGGUGUGCAAUAAUUGAGCAGGCAGCUACAGAUAAGGCGAUACAAACCAUUGAUGGGGAAAUAGCUCAACAACUUUCUUUAAGAAGGAAGCAUAGGGAUGGUCCAACAUUUUUUGAUGCGAACAUAUAUACCCAAGGUUCGAUGGGUGUUGUACCUGAGGCCCUCCGCCCCAAACCGGGUCACCUAUCUGUCUCUCAACAGCGAGUUUAUGAGGA